CUAAUAAGACUGCCGUAGAUAAUACGGAGGAAGGUGGGGAUGACGUCAAAUCAUCAUGCCUCUUACGCCUUGGGCUACAAACGUGCUACAAUGGCCAUUACAAAGAGAUGCAAUACGGUAACGUGGAGCCAACCUCAAAAAGAUGGUCCCAGUUCGGAUUGUGGGCUGAAACCCGCCCACAUGAAGUCGGAUUUGCUAGUAAUCCCGAAUCAGCAUGUCGGGGUGAAUGCGUUCCCGGGUCUUGUACACACCGCCCGUCACGCCAUGGGAGUUGGGGGGACCCAAAGUCGGUGCGCUAACCGCAAGGAGGCAGCCGCCUAAGGUAAAACCAAUGACUGGGGUGAAGUCGUAACAAGGUAGCGCUAUCGGAAGGUGGCGCUGGAUCACCUCCUUU
RNAcentral lists this ribosomal RNA (394 nucleotides) under Bacillota bacterium. Its description in RNAcentral is "bacterial SSU rRNA". It matches the Rfam family "Bacterial small subunit ribosomal RNA", at positions 1140 to 1533 of the family's 1533-position model. Lineage: Bacteria; Bacillati; Bacillota. The record is from RNAcentral.